This 67-nucleotide transfer RNA is filed under the name uncultured Eubacterium sp. The stretch from base 4 to 61 matches the Rfam family "tRNA", at positions 8 to 63 of the family's 71-position model. Rfam says of the family: Transfer RNA (tRNA) molecules are approximately 80 nucleotides in length. Their secondary structure includes four short double-helical elements and three loops (D, anti-codon, and T loops). The record is from RNAcentral. Lineage: Bacteria; Bacillati; Bacillota; Clostridia; Eubacteriales; Eubacteriaceae.
GGUUAGCUCAGUUGGUAGAGCAGAGGACUGAAAAUCCUCGUGUCGCUGGUUCGAUUCCGGCUCUGGG